UGACUAGAUCAUAAAUGAACAAUUGUCCAGACAGAGGCUUGAGUUUGCGAAUUGACGGUUUAUUGAACCAACUUUACACAGGCUACUGUUUGGGCCGUAGCACACGCCAAAUAGAUGACAGAUAACCCACAAGCCAAUCGUGACCUUCCCUUGUGAAGCCCAGACGUAAGAGAGAGAGAACAAAGGCUGAACCUGGUCUUAACUUCCAAUGCCCAACCCCCCUCCACGCCACUCCGCCAACCACCAGGAUGCCCGGCAUCAGAACAUUCCAGGCAUUCCCGUGAUUGGCAGAUAGCAGGUUGAUUGACAUGUCGGACCCCGCGAACACCGGGUACUGGUCAGUACAACACAACCACCUCCUAGCCUAGCACAUAACACACAGCUGUCUGUGCGGGUCGCUACAAUACAUUGUGGUUUUGAUCCUAUCGAACACGGCCAUGGACUACUAGCUACAUCACAAAAUAAAAUACUUUUCGGGAGGGAAAGAGAUUGAUGAUGGUUAGAAGAGCGCCUUUACCUUGAAAAGACAGUUAAAUGGCAUCCCUUGCGAGGACGAGAACAAGAUGUAUGUCAGGAGGAAAAGUGCAGUAUUAUCACAAGGAAAUGUAUACUUGGAAUACGGGUGAGGAAUAGAGGGGAAAAGAGGCAGAUGAGGUCUAAGAGAGAGAAGGAGGAAAAGGGUGUUUGAAUCGGUUAGCGGGCGGGCGGAAAAGAGAGAUUGGAAGAAGGUGUAAGCAGAGUGAGCUGUACGCCGGAUAGAAGACAGGAGGCGAAAUGGAAGUGAAUGAGGGCGAAGUAUCGGUGGUAGGUGCGGUAAAGUCAUCGGAGAUCGAUGUAUGCACCGAUGAUCAGGAUGAAGAAGAAUCUGUGACAGUAGGUGUGAAGUUUAUGUAGAAAGUGGACUCGUGCCUUUUGGCUGGUCGAUUUGUGGUUUCACGGUGGGUGGAAAACAAGUGUUUGGUCAUGUGGAAUCGUUGCGGGGUAACUAGAAGUGGUCUAGUGAUAAUGGUUUAUGUUGGGCAGAGGAAGAAUGCGCUUGAAGUAAAACGAAUGGGGGUAAGUAAAAGUGAAGCGUUUCGUUCUCAAGAAAAAGGCACCAGUGAAAGGAGAUAUAACUGGGCUAGCAGUAGAUAUAGACGAUGACCAGUUGAAGGCAAAGAUUCCCGGUGUAUGUGAUGCUCGGCGUUUGAUGCGACGCAGACCGGGUGGGGGAACAGAGUCGGUGUCUGUUCUUUUGAGUUUUGAAGCAGAGUCUUUGCCUGAUAAAGUGAAGAUGGGAUCUAUAAAGUUAUCCUGUACGAGCCUAUGUGCCGAAUAUGUAGUAGAGUAGUAGAGAGAUACUAGUACAGAGGGAGGAGUGGUGAGAGUAGUAGAGAUAUACUAGUACAGAGGGAGGAGUGGUGAGAGUAGUAGAGAUAUACUAGUACAGAGGGAGGAGUGGUGAGAGUAGUAGAGAUAUACUAGUACAGAGGGAUAGGCCGAAAAGUUUCAGUAAGAUUGGAUUUUUAGCAUUUACAACAAUGGUUAUUAAUUGUACUGCAGGAAUAGAUCAGAAGUCUCAGAAAAUGUAGGCUGUGGUGGCAGCUGUAGAGAGGCAUUUGGGUGUGCAGGACUUGACCGCAGGAGAGUUACAGGAUGUUGUGAUUUCCCAUCCUUUAGGGUGAUGGCAUGAGGUAGGAAUAAAUACAUUUAAUUAGUGGAGUAUGGGGGUGUUAAAUGAUUUAAAAUAAAAUUAUUUUGAAAUUAGUGAAUAUAGUGUUUAGGACAUUUUUCUACUUUAAGUAUAAGGUCUUGUAGGUCUGGCAGUAAUGGAACAAAUUUGAUGCAACCCUCGUUAACCUCAUAGAAUAAGGAGAUGAAAGACCUCCAAUCGUCAAUAUGACUGGCUGCGUUUUGCUACAAUCAUUAUUUAGUUUUCCAAGAACCCGUAAAACAGAGGCAGUGGGAGAACCUAUUAAAGUAAGUAAAAAUGUCACUAGUUAACUUUACAUAUCACCAGCUUGCUAACUUCAUAUUAGCUAUCUUGAUGUACUUUAUUUAUCGUUGUAACACAAAAUGCAUUUGUAGCUAGGUAGGUAACGUUAGCUAGCUAACAGCCAUGGAAGAGGGUGAAAGGAUGGUGAAAGGAUUAGCCAGCACUUCCAGGUGUCAGAGAAGGGAGAGUAGGCUACUCGGGGAUAGGGAAGAUCCAGCCCCUAGCGAGAAACUGAGGACAGAGUGAUAUAGCAUCGUAAUAUUAAGGGCUGUCUAACUUGAGUAUAAUGGAAAGGGAAAAAAUGCAGCCUGUUUCCUUGUGAUGUUUUCUGUCUUCAGAUACAGAGAGCUGUCGAAGCCUGUCUGCAGAUGAAGAGGUCCCAGUGAAUGUCCCAAGAGAGUGGUGAAAUGUCUGGAAGCACGAGAUGGGAUCCUUAGCUUAAAACAUACACACAACUACUACUACCAAGUCCAAUGCCAGAUACUUUUCUCCAAGGUCCGAGUGGCACUGUGAAGAUUGUUUGACGAAGACUACCACAACAAUUACAUUGUCUAUGCUAAAUGUGUUUAAAUUGUUAAGAAAUAAAAUAGUUAGGCUAUAAGAAAUACUUUCUAUUCAAUGGAACUAGGCAAAGCAAAGAUUACUAUUUUAAUUUCACCCAUACAACAAUGUAGCCUAUUAUUAAAGUACAGUAUGUUUACAAUAUCAUAAACAGUAGUAUUUUACACGUUCCAAAUGACAUUUUACAUACUCAUACAGUUUUGUCUUGACAAAGUGAAGGUGCUCUACUCAAAUGGAAUCAACAGAAUCAUUCAGAUUGACCAAAGCACAUCAUAUAACAACCAUCUUGUAUAAUUGAGUGAAGUCUCCUUUCAUAUUUGGAAAAGGACAAAGUACUAGAAGUAGAAACGGAUGCUUCUGCAGCAUUGCUCAUCUUCACAGUGGGUAUCCAGUCAGCAUGGGUGUCUUAAUAGAGGUCAACUGGGGAGCCUACAGUAGUACAUAAAAUGAAAAUCACACCUGAUGUUAGAAUAUCACUUCUUCAGGUCACCUAUACCAUCAGGGCACUUAAUUGUUUGGUUGUGUUUAAUUCAUUCUGGUGUUAAUACCAUAUAAAGAUUACAUAUAUUGUUGGGCUGGAACAAGCAAUAGUCAACACAGCAGGUUGUCCUAUCCUAUUGAGUCUUUUUUCCUAUGUUGUAAUGUGCAUACAUUUUCACUCUUAUGAAUAAAGUUCUCAACAAAUUUUCA
Long non-coding RNA from Oncorhynchus nerka (sockeye salmon), 3226 nucleotides. RefSeq lists it as uncharacterized. The transcript is spliced from 2 exons. The record is from RefSeq and is a predicted model, not a curated record. Lineage: Eukaryota; Metazoa; Chordata; Actinopteri; Salmoniformes; Salmonidae.